UGAAAAGCGGUCACGCCGAUGGUAGUGUAGCAUUCGCUAUGUGAGAGUAGGUCAUUGCCAGGC
Molecule: ribosomal RNA, 63 nt
Filed under: Ruminobacter amylophilus
Lineage: Bacteria; Pseudomonadati; Pseudomonadota; Gammaproteobacteria; Aeromonadales; Succinivibrionaceae
Source: RNAcentral